This 580-nucleotide ribosomal RNA is filed under the name uncultured Ralstonia sp. RNAcentral's name for it is "bacterial SSU rRNA". It matches the Rfam family "Bacterial small subunit ribosomal RNA", at positions 337 to 911 of the family's 1533-position model. Lineage: Bacteria; Pseudomonadati; Pseudomonadota; Betaproteobacteria; Burkholderiales; Burkholderiaceae. The record is from RNAcentral.
UCCUACGGGAGGCAGCAGUGGGGAAUUUUGGACAAUGGGCGAAAGCCUGAUCCAGCAAUGCCGCGUGUGUGAAGAAGGCCUUCGGGUUGUAAAGCACUUUUGUCCGGAAAGAAAUGGCUCUGGUUAAUACCUGGGGUCGAUGACGGUACCGGAAGAAUAAGGACCGGCUAACUACGUGCCAGCAGCCGCGGUAAUACGUAGGGUCCAAGCGUUAAUCGGAAUUACUGGGCGUAAAGCGUGCGCAGGCGGUUGUGCAAGACCGAUGUGAAAUCCCCGAGCUUAACUUGGGAAUUGCAUUGGUGAAUGCACGGCUAGAGUGUGUCAGAGGGGGGUAGAAUUCCACGUGUAGCAGUGAAAUGCGUAGAGAUGUGGAGGAAUACCGAUGGCGAAGGCAGCCCCCUGGGAUAACACUGACGCUCAUGCACGAAAGCGUGGGGAGCAAACAGGAUUAGAUACCCUGGUAGUCCACGCCCUAAACGAUGUCAACUAGUUGUUGGGGAUUCAUUUCCUUAGUAACGUAGCUAACGCGUGAAGUUGACCGCCUGGGGAGUACGGUCGCAAGAUUAAAACUCAAGAAAUU